Molecule: ribosomal RNA, 285 nt
Filed under: Triticum aestivum (bread wheat)
Lineage: Eukaryota; Viridiplantae; Streptophyta; Magnoliopsida; Poales; Poaceae
Description: partial small subunit ribosomal RNA
Source: RNAcentral
GGAUGCAAUCAUCUUGUUAUUAACUCAGACAAUAUGAAAGUGAUUGACACAACGAAUAAUGGAGGAUACUCGGCAGGAGCGGCGGCUGCAGUCUUCAAUGAUUGUUAUUUUUUGGCUUAUGAUUUUUCUCUUAUUAGUUUUGAACAUUGUAAUAGGUAAACAAAUAAGGUGACUCAUGAAAUUGCUAGGCUAGCAAAUUUUUCGCAAACUAGGGAUUGGUUUGACGAGACAAUGAAUGAUAUUGUACCUUUUCUUACGGACGAUGUAACAAUUAUUUCUAAUUAA